This 249-nucleotide ribosomal RNA is filed under the name uncultured bacterium. Its description in RNAcentral is "partial 16S ribosomal RNA". It matches the Rfam family "Bacterial small subunit ribosomal RNA", at positions 355 to 597 of the family's 1533-position model. The record is from RNAcentral.
UGGGGAAUUUUGGACAAUGGGGGAAACCCUGAUCCAGCAAUGCCGCGUGAGUGAAGAAGGCCUUCGGGUUGUAAAGCUCUUUUGUCAGGGAAGAAACACCGGCUCUAACACAGUCCGGGAAUGACGGUACCUGAAGAAUAAGCACCGGCUAACUACGUGCCAGCAGCCGCGGUAAAACGUAGGGUGCGAGCGUUAAUCCGAAUUACUGGGCGUAAAGCGUGCGCAGGCGGGUAUACAAGGCAGGCGGGG